Molecule: ribosomal RNA, 253 nt
Filed under: uncultured bacterium
Lineage: Bacteria
Description: partial 16S ribosomal RNA
Rfam family: Bacterial small subunit ribosomal RNA
Source: RNAcentral
UACGGAGGGUGCGAGCGUUAUCCGGAUUCACUGGGUUUAAAGGGUGCGUAGGUGGGCAUGUAAGUCAGUGGUGAAAUCUCUGAGCUUAACUCAGAAACUGCCAUUGAUACUAUGUUUCUUGAAUUUUCUGGAGGUCAGCGGAAUAUGUCAUGUAGCGGUGAAAUGCUUAGAUAUGACAUAGAACACCAAUUGCGAAGGCAGCUGGCUACAGGGAUAUUGACACUGAGGCACGAAAGCGUGGGGAUCAAACAGG